RNAcentral lists this long non-coding RNA (1395 nucleotides) under Homo sapiens (human). Its description in RNAcentral is "novel transcript". The record is from RNAcentral. Lineage: Eukaryota; Metazoa; Chordata; Mammalia; Primates; Hominidae.
GGGGGCCGCUGGCCCCUCUUGGCCGCCGUCGCCACGCACCGAGUUUGUGUUUAAGGAGAAACUAACAAUGAAAACGGCCUCGUUGACGGAGGAAAAGUUGGAAUGCAGCCUCUGGUGCUGUUUGAGCGAUCCCUCUCCCCGGGGCCUGGCCGCGCGCUGCUGUGUUCUGGAAGGGCUCAUUGUACAGUCAAGGCGGCAGGGCCUUCUUCUGUCACCCAUGCUGGAGUGCAGUAGCAUGAUCACAGCUCACGGUAGCCUCCACCUUCUGGGCUCAAUCCUCCUACCUCAGCCUUCCAAGUAGCUGGGACUACAGUCUUGAGGAUCCAUUUUCUGAGACGGUGAUGGGAAAGAUGUUGGUUGUCAAGUGGAAUCUCAGCAGUCAUUUUCAGACAAAGUUAGAGAAAACAAGUAUGGAAGAUGCCUGAUUCUCAAAGAGUCAUCCAGUCUUGGGAUUACCGCCUACGUCCAUGGAAGUGAAAGUCCUCUUUUUCUUUGUACCACUUACUGAGAGGAGGAAACUGAGACACAGAAAAGUGAAGUAACCCGCCUGGGGUCACACAGUAGAGGUCUAAGUCAGGAUUCAAAGCCAGCAGUCUGGCCCAGAGCUCCAAAUCUUUGGCCUUACAAUACUUUGCCACCGCAACAGCGUGAUCGGUGACAGGCCCGCUGUCUGUCCUGGGACGGGUCAGCUGAGCCCCCAUUCUGAGAGUGAGCCCUCUGGCUGCUUGUUGCACACUGGGCUUGGGUUGCAGGGCUGCAGGCCCCCUCGCUGGCUGGCUCCUGGAAGCGCUGUGCUCCCACAAAAAGCCAGCCAGGCCUGAGGGCUCAGGGCUCACAGGUCCAUGGAAAUCAGCCCCAGGUGACUCCUUCCCACCUCUGCCCAUGAAAUGUGCCUCCCAGGCUCCAGGUUUCCCCUGGAAUACAGGCCCCUGGUGUUCCCAGUGCUGUACCUGCAGUGUCUGCUUUGCUCUGAGGCCAUGGCAUUAUUGACUUAAAAUAAGCUGCUUGGGCUUUUAAAAAACAAAGAAUCUGCAGACUCUGUAGCCCUUUUCCUUUCCACCUGUGCUGGGGAGCAUGGCAGUGGAGAGGGUGGGCAGGCCGCUUCCUGUUGCGUAGGUCAGGCCCCCCCCAGCCCGCCCUGCUCCACGCUCUGGCCCCUCUAUCAAGAGCUAUUUCUCAUUUUUUCCAAGCAUGAGGUUCAGGUGUCUCCAUCCUCCCAGGCCCCCGGCCCCCUGCCCAGGGAUGCCUUUUAUGGGACCAUGUCUGCCCUCAACUGGGCCGCCCUCCGAGUUCUCUCCAUUUUAUUCCCCUGAUGCCUGAAGUGGUGUUUGUUUGUUUGUUUGGUUGUUUCUGGAGAUCCGAAUACACAACACUUGGGGUUGAGGUUUUUUUUUA